This is a long non-coding RNA of Thunnus maccoyii (southern bluefin tuna), 4398 nucleotides long. RefSeq lists it as uncharacterized. The transcript has 7 exons. The record is from RefSeq and is a predicted model, not a curated record. NCBI's taxonomy places the organism in Eukaryota, Metazoa, Chordata, Actinopteri, Scombriformes, Scombridae.
GAGGGAAGCAAUAGGCCCAGCUUAGCAAAAAGACUGGAGGCAGGGGGAAACGUCUAGCCUGGUUAUGUCCAUUUGUCCACAAACAGAAAUGUAAAACCAACAAUUUAUGGUUUGCCCCUACUUCCAGUCUUUAUGCUAAGCUAAGCUAACCACAUCCUGACUCCAGCUCUAUACUGAACAUGUGGUAUUUAAGAAUUUAAAAGUAAUUUGAUUUUUCAGAAACAUAAUUUUAUUUCUUUUCAGAGUUAUGCAAUUAUAUUUCUCGUGCUCUAUUUUCUUAAUACAUAAUUUUAUUGUUAUUUCGGUUAUGUUGCUAAGGUUAUUACUGUGGAGAAUAUCCAGCCAGAGUGUAACCAGUACAAAUAGGUAAUGUGUGUUCUUUUUCUGGGUUGAUUGUGCGUCGAUCUAUUGAUAAUGCCUCAGGGCUCCAGUAGGGGGAACCGCGCUCCUCUCCCUCACUCAAUACAUACGAGUGAAAACGAGACAAGUGUGCGGGUGUUGUCAUCUCUCUUCCCUCACAAUUUUCCUUGUUUUAAGCAUUGUGAUGAGCCUGCAGCCCCUGAUAUUUCCUGCCUUGGGGCACGUUGGGAGCCGUCAGCCAGGUCGACCAAUACCUGGAUGGUCUGAGCCAACCGGAUCAGCCCCUCGUCCUCCAUGAUGAGCUGGGGGGAACACAAGGAAUCCUGGGAAGGGAGGAGUAGAGGAGUGAAUUGAUGCAGCACUUCCUGGUCUGGAAAGAAGGGUCCAAGCGCAGGGAAAGGCUGUCUAUGAAUGUGCCAGAGUGGGACACCUAAGUGAGAGCAGUUCAACCUAAUGAAGAGACUGUCACAUGGGCCCCUGGAUCGUCCUCAGUGACCCCUAAAACCUUAAAGAACUCACUCACCCACAACUACUGACAUUUACCAUAAAGUCUCUAAGACGUGAUUAAAUCUACAUAAUCAGCGCUGCUGCCUUUAUGGUGAUUACUUGAUUAACUGAUGAACCUGGAGUCUGACUAUACACAUGCAAUGCAGAUAAUCCAGAGCUUGACAACACACACUCACAGCUCCACUGAUGUGUGUGAGCAGGAGGCAGACUUGAGGCUGGAGCGAUGCACAGAGGAGACGUCAGCGUUCCUCAUGAAAGCUGCAGCAAAAACCUAAAUGCUGAUUUCUGCCGUUCCACUGACCUCCACUCUAUGAACUCACCUGCUGCAACACGGCCAGCUGGACUCUACAGCUGCAAAGCUGCUGUUUGGAGAGCACACAGGAGCUUUUUGAAGAAGUGAAAGCACAGGGCACAGGGAGUUCAGAUCAGGGUAUCUGCAGGCAGCUCACAAAUUUAUCACUUCCUUAGAAGUUUUUAAUGUUUUAUGGAAUUGACUUAAAGAACAAAUCAGAACCAACAUGAAGGAACCAAACUGGUCAAAUCAGCGAGCUGUCAUGUUGUAGAUGUUUGAUUGUGUUUUUUACUCCUCCAGUUAUCUCAAUUUAGUAUUUUGAAAGAACAAGGCUGGCAUUAUUCUAUAUUUCUCUCACUGUCAACAAAUCCCAUCUUAAAGUGUUUUCAGUAACACUUUACAACAAGGGAACAAAUCAUAUAUCUAAGUAAUGUUUAAAUCAUGACUCAUGAUUUAAUGCAGGAUGUAUCAUGAAUUCCUGUUGCUCAUCAUUAACAAAUGAUCAAGUCACUAUGACUUCAUGUGAUUAAUUCACACUCAAUAGAUCAUCACUUGAGGAAUGCUAAUUCAGUUACUUCAUACAUUACUUGAUAUGCAACCAAAUUAGCUGGAUUCCUCUUACACAGAGUUUAUUUCAGGACCUUGCAUUUGCUCAGCCUUUGGAUACACACAAUACUUGUUAGUAGAUCACUUCAUUGUUGGUUUGGCUCUGCACGAGAUUUGUUGACAGUAAGAAAAACAGAAAAUCACAGCCUUAUCUUUUAAACAAAGUGAGCCAUCUCUGACAACUAAUCAAACUCCACCCACUGAUGAGCACCAUGAGCCGCAGCUGAAAGCUGCUGUAAAAGCUGAUAAGUGGACCUUAAAUGAAUAUCUCUUUGUCAGAAUGAGACGUUGAGGUGGCUGCAGAUACUCUGAUCUCUGUUCAAGUUCUCAGCUGAGGAAGCAAAAGCACGACAGCAGGCGAGCAGACAACAGCAGCACAUGGUCAAAGUUCAUUUUUAAUAAUUUCUUUACAGCGGAAGGAAAAAAAAACAAAACUUUACAUAUAGAUUUAUAUAAACUCAAAAAUGAUUCUUAAUAAUAAUACAAGGAUAUUGUAUAAAUAUAAAGUACAACAGUAUUUCUGUUCCUCUAACAUAUUUAAGAAUAUAGCUGGGUCUAAGCCAGUGAGUGAAGUACUGUCAGUUGCUUAUCCAGUUUGAUUUAUAAAAUAUACAUUUGAAUUGAAACUGUAUAAAUUUCAUCUUAACAGCAGGCUAGUAAAAAACAUGGGCAGGGAGGAUUUUACAGUGGACACUGACCUCGAGACAACAGCAGAGAUGUAGACAUGAAGUGGACGGAGGUAUAAAAUUAUAUUGCAAUUUCAACUGAAUGGCUUUUUUAUGUUCUGCUUGAGUACUUUGGGAGUUGUGUUAACCCAAUAUAUUGUUGGGGACGGUAUCAGAACUGUUCAACAAUGGUAUUAAGUCCCACUGCUUCCACAGUUACACAAAAUGACCUAAAAGAACUGACAUUUUAGCUUAUUUAUUCAUAGAAUUUCAUACUACUCAAUAAGUUACGUUGGUCAUCUCACUUCACUAGUUUCUUUUCAGUUGAAAGUUUUAGUGUCCCAUUAUGGUUUAAAAGUUGUUUCGGAGGUCUUAAUAAGAGUCAAAUUCUGUUUAGAAAGGAUUUUUAGGGCUUUAGCAGCUUCAAUCCAAAACUCUAUCAGCUCCAGCCUUCAAACCCCACAUCAGUCAAAUAAGCAUCAUAAUCAGAUUCCAACCUGCGUUUAGUUGCAGACACUGAGCUUCUAUGAGCAAUAAGCCAGACGCAGCGUGUGGUAGAAACAGCAGAGGCCGCCUGAUGCUCUGCUAAAUGUGUAGCCUCUAGGGAAUCAAUGAUUUACCAAUCCAGUGAUGAGGGAAAACUUUUAAACAAUCAAUGUUUGUUUUAAACUCUGAAUAAUUGAAUAUUGAUCACAUCUUAUAAACCUGUGUGUGAUUUAAAGCAGGCACAUUGAUCUCAAAGCUUUAGGAGGCUGUUGUCUUACAGGCUUAACCACAUUAGUGAAGCCUCUGCUGUUUCACCGAGCUCUGCAACACAACCAAACACACAACAGAAUUUAAAAAUAAAUAAAAAAAACAAAAACAAUAAUUUAAUAACCUGUUUACAUUUAUACAAACAUGAACACAAAGUCAGCUGGUCACACAGACCAGAGACAAUGACAAAAAAAGACUUUACACACACACACGCUUCCUCCUGGAGGGUUUGUACCGUCAGUUUGGACACAUGAAGCUUGGAGGGCGAUAGAUGCAGCAACAGCUCCCCCUGCUGCUCACAGUUAACAUCACAGACAUAAAAAGAAGCAGUCUCUGCUAGUGGUCAGUGUUCAGUAAGAGGCACUGUAUCAUUUGUCUCACUGUCCUUAUUUCACUAACUUGCAUCUGUCUCAAGGCUAAAAAUCACAUUCACAGUUCAGUCUCAGGUUACCUCAACAGCUUCUUUUCUCUCUCAGGACAAAUGUUGGCUUGCAAACACACAGACUGGAGUUUUAGGUUGAACAUUUCUCAGAGGGAGAGCUGCUCUGAAAGCAGGAAUAAUCUCAGAUUUGGUGAGCAGAGCCAAAGAACCACAGUCUCUCUGGAUGAGUGAGGCUAAGUUCUGAAAGUGAAGUUGUAAAAAAAACUAAUUUAUCUAUCUAGUUAUCCCACAGCAGAUCCAAGGAGGCUGUUUCCCAAUUCCAUAGCCUACUCUACACUACAACAUGCACUAUGCUGAUGUGAAAGAGCUGUAAAGUCUGUAAACUGUGAUGGAUGUUUACAACAAACUGAUGUUCAUUUUCAUUUUCUCCUCAGCUAACCUGGACGCUUGUUUCCAACUUGUGUGAUGAUCUGACUGCUUGUGGACUGUUCCCAGGUCUCAGCAGUGUGUGUUGCGUGCUGCUCCUCUAGGUGAGCAGGUAGCAGUAGAGGACGUAGAGCAGGGCCAUGGCCACACAGUAGAAGAGCAGGAAAUCUGUGGACAGCAGCGAGGAGAAGGACGAUGAAGACGAAGGCUUGACGUUGCUACGGGAGGAGGCCCGGAAUAGGAAACUGUUGGGUCUCUGGUUGGCCUGACCAGGUGGAGGGGACGUCUUUGGGGAGGACGGGACAUCUGACAAACAUUCAGACGUUCUCUCUCCUGCCAGAUUGACAGGGUGCCCGGCCUCUUGCGCUCCUCCAGGGUGGGGCUGGAGGGGGACAGCGGAGACGACG